Molecule: long non-coding RNA, 1197 nt
Organism: Homo sapiens (human)
Lineage: Eukaryota; Metazoa; Chordata; Mammalia; Primates; Hominidae
Gene: SLC66A1L
Product: solute carrier family 66 member 1 like (pseudogene)
Source: Ensembl
GUUUCUCCUUCAGUUUCCUCUCAUUGCCUGAGGUUGGGCCCGAACACGGCGGUACAUUUCCUUGAGAGUCUUCUACAUUCAUGCUGUAGAAGCUAUGAAAGUCGUGGGAAACUAUAGAGUCAACACUGCAAACUCAAGCACUGAUACGUCCGGAGAGCACUUGACCUGCCUUAGAAGUCAGCUCUUUGUAGCCUACAGAAAUGGAAGAGUGGAUGAAGCAGUCUCUCUGGGUUUUCUGGAUUGCUGGAUAGGUGGAGACCUGACAAAUUUCAAAGGCUGCUACCUGACUAACCAACUGCCUAUUCAGGAUAUUCCAACCUCAGUUAUUCAAAGACUCCAUCACCAGAGAGAAAGUCAGAUUGUCACUUUGGGGAGUCCUCUGCCCUGUAUAUAUCCCAUAUUCUUUCAGAUAAGUGAAAUUAGCAUGCCUGGGUAUUACAGUUGUUUAUGCCAUACUACUAUAAAUACUUCUAAGAGAAGAUUUAUCUUGACUUAAGACUUGGAAUUUUGUUAAAUUAAUGCACAAAUGUAUAUGACCAUAACUUAACGAUGAUUUGUAUAUUAGCUGAGUCAAGUGGCAUACAUAAAAGCAAUGAAGGUUUCUUGGACAUUCUACACUGAAAUGUUUAGAAUGUUUAAAAAAUUUAUCUUUCUAUUUUCCAAUAGUGUGGUAAAUGUAAAGUGCUUAGCACUUUGCGUGACACAUGGUAGGGCCUCAAAAAAUAUUAGCUAUUAUCAUUAUAAACCACAGAGGCCCUGUUAUGUGGCAGUUUGUAUCUCUCUCUUGACUAAUAGAAGCACUUUGCAGAUGAUAUGUCACACAAUCUAGAAAGGUAGUGCUUAAAGGAAUAGACUUAUCUCCUUAUUUUACAAAUGAGGACAUUGAGGCCCUAGGAAGUUAAAUGACUUAGACAAAAUCACAAAGGUAAAGUGGAAAGCCCAGGAGAAAUCCCCUGGCCUUCAGCCUGCUGUGAUUUCUACCAACUAUAGAUUAGAACUUUUCAGACAAGUGGCACCUGCAAGUGUCUUCGAGCAAGGCCUCAACCUCCAGCACAGCUCUUGCCACCUACAAACACCAGGGAAGAGCAAGAUUGAGUUACAUGGCUUGGAAGAAGAGUGAAACACCUCGCAAGACCCAGAGAAAACUCCACAUCCAUUUGCAGCUAAUUUUAAAGCCCAAAUAAAAGCACAAUCUUU